This 615-nucleotide ribosomal RNA is filed under the name Basidiomycota sp. CC 01-08. RNAcentral's name for it is "eukaryotic LSU rRNA". The stretch from base 238 to 391 matches the Rfam family "5.8S ribosomal RNA". Lineage: Eukaryota; Fungi; Basidiomycota. The record is from RNAcentral. RNAcentral also lists the same sequence under 1 other name.
GGAUCAUUACUGAAGUCAAGGGGGAGUGCUGGCCCGCGCGGCAAGUGCACCCUCCUCCCUUCAUCCACACACACCUGUGCACCUUUCGAGGCGGGACCUCCCGUGCCCGGAGCCGGCCCAAUCUAGCAUUGUGUGGGCCUCGAUUCGAGGCCCCGGCCUGAGGGCCCGCCUACCUUUUCACAUGCACUUUUCUUGACCUGGAACGUAGUCGCGGCGCCGCCGCAAAACCUAAUACACAACUUUCAACAACGGAUCUCUUGGUUCUCGCAUCGAUGAAGAACGCAGCGAAAUGCGAUAAGUAAUGUGAAUUGCAGAAUUCAGUGAAUCAUCGAAUCUUUGAACGCACCUUGCGCUCCUUGGCAUUCCGAGGAGCAUGCCUGCUUGAGUGUCAUGUUAAAUCUCGACCUUCGGGUUGGACUUUGGACGCUUGCGGCGGCCUGGCCCGCCGCUCGUCUUAAAUGCAUUAGCGGGGACAGCGGCCCAUUGCUGGCGUUUAGUAAUGCUUGCGCCGAGCGGGGUCCGCUUUUCGCUUCCUCGUCCUUCGGGACGCGCUUGACUUCUGGCCUCAAAUCAGGUAGGAUUACCCGCCGAACUUAAGCAUAUCAAUAAGCCGGA